Molecule: ribosomal RNA, 333 nt
Filed under: uncultured Actinomycetes bacterium
Lineage: Bacteria; Bacillati; Actinomycetota; Actinomycetes
Description: bacterial SSU rRNA
Rfam family: Bacterial small subunit ribosomal RNA
Source: RNAcentral
CUCGUAGGUGGCUGAGUAAGUCGGAUGUUAAAUCCCCAGGCUCAACCUGGGACACCACCCGAUACUGCUCUGGCUAGAGUCCGGUAGGGGAGCGUGGAAUUCCUGGUGUAGCGGUGAAAUGCGCAGAUAUCAGGAGGAACACCAGCGGCGAAGGCGGCGCUCUGGGCCGGUACUGACACUGAGGAGCGAAAGCGUGGGUAGCAAACAGGAUUAGAUACCCUGGUAGUCCACGCCGUAAACGUUGGGCACUAGGUGUGGGGUCUAUUCAACGGACUCCGUGCCGUAGCUAACGCAUUAAGUGCCCCGCCUGGGGAGUACGGCCGCAAGGCUAAA